Molecule: ribosomal RNA, 497 nt
Filed under: uncultured bacterium
Lineage: Bacteria
Description: partial 16S ribosomal RNA
Rfam family: Bacterial small subunit ribosomal RNA
Source: RNAcentral
GAUGAACGCUGGCGGCGUGCCUAAUACAUGCAAGUCGAGCGAACAGAUGAGGAGCUUGCUCCUCUGACGUUAGCGGCGGACGGGUGAGUAACACGUGGAUAACCUACCUAUAAGACUGGGAUAACUUCGGGAAACCGGAGCUAAUACCGGAUAAUAUAUUGAACCGCAUGGAUCAAUAGUGAAAGACGGUUUUGCUGUCACUUAUAGAUGGAUCCGCGCCGCAUUAGCUAGUUGGUAAGGUAACGGCUUACCAAGGCAACGAUGCGUAGCCGACCUGAGAGGGUGAUCGGCCACACUGGAACUGAGACACGGUCCAGACUCCUACGGGAGGCAGCAGUAGGGAAUCUUCCGCAAUGGGCGAAAGCCUGACGCAGCAACGCCGCGUGAGUGAUGAAGGUCUUCGGAUCGUAAAACUCUGUUAUUAGGGAAGAACAAAUGUGUAAGUAACUAUGCACGUCUUGACGGUACCUAAUCAGAAAGCCCCGGCUAACUACGUG